GCCAGAGAGAGCAUGUCUGCUAGAAUUGCAGACAGCUCACUGAGGAUGGUAACUUGGAAGGCAUCUUUCCAGAUGGCAGUCCACGUUUGACUGGCAGAGGGUUUUGUAUGUUCAGUUGAUGGUGACAUUACACAGACCGGGAACUCUUCAUACAGCAACAUUAUCUUUAUGGCUGUUUUGUUCUUUAGUGUUUCAUAGCCAACUUCAUGUCAUGCAGGACAAUAUAAUGUACACUUUUUGAGCUCACAUUGCUCUUCAAAGAUUUCCUGCGGAGAUGAAAGUAAACUAGAGAAUUUAGUUUUAUUGUGUAUCAUUUUGACCCAUUCAAUUAUAAUCAUUUUUAUUACCGCUCAAACUCUGAUUUACGAAAGGAAGACGUGCGAUUAACAGGCUGUAAUAAAUUCCUCACCCCUCUUUGGUUCCGUACUCUUGAGUUUCUCCCGCUGUAUCUGACCUCAUGCUUUACGCAGUGCGGUCGUCGAGUUGAUAAUCCGUGUCAGUAAUCUCUUUUAACAAUUUAUUUCAGAAAGACAGAUCAAACACACCAUUUCCCCUGACGUGGAGUACAGACCGAUCGAGUCCUGUAGUUGAGUUAUAUUUGACUUUUUAUCAGCACACCUUGGUGACGCCAGUCAAUCAGCUACAUCACCUUUCACAUGCUCGUGCAUCAUCAACAAAGACGAAUGGUGAGACUGAUAGUCGGCUUCAUUUUCAAGUCUUGUGUUGUUGUUAGGGUGUUUGACACCUGAGGUCUGCCACUAUGCAGCCUGGAGGAGCACACAAUGCUGUGUGUGGCCAGAGCCUGCUGUCCAACUCCCUUAGGGUGUAUCUGAACAACAAGAACAGACUGCAGCCCAUAAUCGGUCUGGGCUGUGUGACAGAGUGUGUGACACUCGGCUUGGACUCUGAGGCGGUGUACCUGUGUGAGGUGUGUGUGUGUCGUCUCAGUAAGGCUGAUGUCAGGAGCCACAUCAUGGGGAGUCUCCACCGAUACAACUACAUUGUGAGUGUGGGAUGUGUGUUUCUGGAUCUGUGCUCUUUACUCACAAGCUACUUAAUGAUUCUGAUGUCUUAUUGUAAUACCUGUACGGUUAAACCACACCUCCUUACACCAGGGUUUCUCAAUCCUUGUCCCAGGGACACAAAGGGGUGCAUUUUUUUUUUGUGCCCUAGCAUUAACACACCACGUUCUUAUCAAAGGCUUGAUGAUUAAUUUUUUUAAAUCUGGUGUUUUAGUGCUAGGACAAAAACAAAAAUGCGCACCCCGUUGGGGAAUGCAACACACUGCUCUACACAAUCACUGACCUACAACUAGCCUAAUACAGCUGCAUGUAUACCAGUAUACCAGUUGUGUGUUUCCUCUCUCCUGUGGCUGUCGUUGUAUAGAAAGUCCAUCACCCUCACUUUGUGUCAGAGUGGAAGCAGAGUCCUCCUGACCUGUCCAAGCUGGCCCGGCCUCUUAUGGAGAUGGCUCAAAUACUAGAGAAGAGAGAAGGAACCGGGGACGUACAGGUAUGUGUGUGUCUGUGCAUGCUGGGGUGAUGUUUGUGUGUGCGUGCAAAUCUCCUCUGUCCUGUCUUUCUGUUAGGUGCUGAAGUUGGAUGCUGCCAUGUAUGACGAUAUGACAACACACAGCGAGAGUGAUGCUCUCAUCCUCUUGCAUGCCACCAGGACUGGGAGGGAGCAGAGAGAUCUUCAGAGCCAAUCAGUGAAGCAAUCAGUCCAGUCGGAGUAUCUUACCAUCCAGUCACAGAGAACUGUGAUAUCGCCUCGGAGGCUCUCCGUCCAACCAGAGAGGCCUGUUGUCCAGCUUGACAACCGAACCGUCCUAUGGAGGAGUCCGACCACCCAGAGUCGGAACUCAUCUAGCCAAUCGGAGAAGUCCCCUGUGUUGCAGCAGAGUGUCUCUAUCCAAUCACGGCUUAGUUCGUUGGAGGAGGAGUUUCUCCAUGGAAGCAAGCCACUGGUUGGUGCUUCACUGAAGCGUCCUGCCUCAUCAUGGCAGCAUGACCCCUCUCUUUCCCCGACCCCAAAUGUCACAGCUGGAAGUCAGACGUCUCUGGGCGGGCCUGAGGGGAAGGGGGCGGGACUGCAGGGGGUUCCUGCAAAGCUGAUUCGCUGUGAGCCGGUGUUCAAGGUCAGUCUAUCUAUGACGGACGGCCCCUGGCUGUUGGAGAGGAACUCCUUCAGCCUGGAAACCUCCCCCUCCUCCCUCAGACACGCCUCACCCCUUCACUCCCCCACCGUAGAUGCCUCACUCCAACCCUCUCCCGAUCCCUCACGUUUGCUUGGCCAGCCGGGAAACUCAGUUGCCGCAAGACUCGGAAACACACAUGAAAAUACACACACUCCGGGACUGAGACGCACUCCGGGACAUGCACACACUUCAACUAUGAGACUGAGCCCAGCCAUACCUGAUGAGCAGCUGACUAUGGGAGACGAGGACACAGAGAAAGACCGUCUGUAUCUCGGAGGGGAACAGAGGUUCACCGACUAUGCUUUGUACGAUGGCAGAGAGAAAAACACAACUGACCUGGUUUACCUCAGGAGAGAGCAGGACCGAACUGACCAUCUGUAUUCAGAAAAUAACCGACUCACUGACACAAAGUUCCAUGUCCGAGUGGGGCAGAACAACCGACAAGGCAGUAUUUACCCCGGUCUAGCCUGUGCCAGAGACAUCACUGACACAGCGUCUGUUGCCGGGCCGAUUCUCUUCACUACCGGCUGUCUCUUGAAGGAGAGCUUGACAGACACUCCUCUAAUGGAAGAAGAACAGGAGGAGGAGAGGGGGAAUGAGUGUCAUUCUGGGGCACAGAGGCUUGCAGAGGAUGACAGGACAACUGACAGUCUGUACUCUACUGGAGAGAGGAUAACAGACAGUGGGUUUUCCACAGGAAGCAGGUCAAAUGACAAAAUGUACCAAACAGGAGAACGAUCAACUGACAAUCAGUCUUUUACAACAGAAGUGACAACUGACUGUUGGUAUGCUACAGGAGAGGAGCUAACUGACCGUCAGUUGAUGGAGGAAGAGGAGCGAUGCAGAGCUGAAAUUCAGAAUGGAGUUGGGCUCAUCGUGGAGGUCAUGGUGGAGGAGGGGGAGAGAGAGGAAGGAAAGGAUGGAGAGAGGGAGGAGAACUCAGACUUUUACCACCAACAGUAUUUGCAAGGCCAGCCUCUACAACGGCACCAGGCGCAGGGGUUCACAGGAACUCAUAGGGGCGCCGUAGGGCUUCAUAUGGUUGACACAGCAGAUCUCAGACAUGACAUAGCCCUUCAUAGAGAUCAGGCAGGGCCAGCCCUUCACCGAGAAGAGAUGAGCAGUCGUAUGGGUGACAUAGCAGCUAUGCAGCAGGUGCAGUUAUGUGAGGCUGAGUACAGAGAAGCAUGGGCCUAUGGAGGCACACAGCUGACCCCUGACACCUAUAGAUCAGGUCCGCAGGAGUAUGAGACUGACCCUGGCUCCUACCUGCCAUUCCCAGAGGGCCACAGAAUAAACUGUGACCCCCACCAAGUGGUUUCUGAUUGGUUUAGAACCACCCCUGGCCCGCACUUCGUUCACUCUAACCCUGACGAGUUUACACCCCAGGUCCUCCCGUACCCCCACAAUACAAUGCCCCAGGGGUUUGGACCCAAUCCCCACUCUGGUCCCUUCCCCAUGAAGAUGAGGGGCGUGCAGUCACAGGAGUACAGAAGGCUCCCCAGCCCCCCAUUUGUUAUGGUGUCUAGACCCUGCCACCCUCAGCCCUUCUUUCCAGGACAUGAAGGCUUUCUGUCCCCCCGGCACAGCCCAGCCUUACCUCCCAGCCCUCCCCACUACAGAGGAGCCUACUUGGGCCACAGCCCUGCCCGGAGUCCCUGGGCAGGACCAGGACCUCCCUGGGUCUAAUUACCACACACCAUACAUAAAUCCACCAGGAUAGUUAUUUGUGGCACUUUAGACACUGUUGUUUUAAAUGGACAGGUGUUUUGUGUGUUUUAUACACUCUAGGUUCUAUUGUUUUUAUAGCUGUCUUAAACCAACAGUAUCCCAUCCAUUGUAUAAGUGCUGAUUUUAGGUACUUCCCCUGUAUGAUGUCAUGAAAUCUCAUUGACAACUGGCAACGAUUCAACUCACCGGUUCAAUUCUGUUACCAAUUCAGAUUUAUACAAGACUUGUUUGUUUUAAGUUGUUUGUCUUCUACCGUCGAAUCAAGAUGGAGCUGAGAUGGAUAAAUAGACAACACGUUGAACACUGGCUAAAUUUUAUAAUAUGAACUCAGUUUGUGAAAUAUCUAUUUUUCAACAACAAAUAUUUUGGUUAAUGCAAAAAAAAAUCUAUGGUUAUAUUAACAUUAAGGUUUAUUUUACACAAUAAGGGGGAUCAAUUAGGGGUUCAACAUUGACCUUUCCAGAACUGUCUAGAAGGAGGCGCUGUAUUAGUUUUCAGUUCGACCAGCUGAGGGAAGCAGAGCUGAAUAAGUUGUUUAAAAUGAUGUUCAGAAACACAACACUUGUUAAAAUAAACAGUUUUAUGUUUAAAUGCUUUUUAUAUUUGCCAUGUGUGCUUCCCUCAUGAAGUUGGGUUUAUUUCAGUGUAACAACAGCUUUGGCCAGUGUUAUACUUUGACUUUGGUUCACACACCUUUACAUUGGCUUAACUGAGUAGAUCUGAUUCCAUUUGUUGAAUUAUUAGUGUUAAUUUGAAGAUUAUUCCCCCAAAAUGUUUAUGUGCAGCAGGUACGACAGACUUGGAUUCGCCUCUUCCUAUAGGCAGACUACGCGCUGCCCUUUUCUUUUUCAAGGAACUGUUGGGUCUCAACUCACUUUUGAAAAGUAGAAUACACCAGGUGCAAUUUUGACAUUUUGUUGUGUAUCAGUAGUUUCCCACUUAUGACAGUCGCUCAAUGAGACCAUGUCAGCAAAACAUUUUAAGAUUGCUAGGUAAGGUAGUUGAGCCAGGGCCCUGACCUCCAGGGGGGCCUCCAUUGGUUUUGUAAUUUUGUCACUCUUUCACAGACACUCAUAUAUAUAUAUAUAUAUAUAUACACACACACACAAGUAUAUGUGGAUUUGUCUAUUUCAGCCACACCUGUUGCUGACAGGUGUUUAAAAUCGAGCACACAGCCAUUCAAUCUCCAUAGACAAACAUUCGCAGUAGAAUGGCCUUACUGAAGAGCUCAGUUACUUUCAACGGGGCACUGUCAUAGGGUUCCACAUUCUCCAACAAGUCAGUUUGUCUAGAGCUACUCGGUCAAUUGUUAUUGUGAAGUGGAAACGUCUUGGAGAAACAACAGCUCGGCUGCGAAGUGGUAGGCCACACAAGCUCACAGAACGGGACCGCCGAGUGCUGUAGAGCACAAAGAUUGUCUGUCCCCUGUUGCAACACUCACUACAGAGUUCCAAACUGGAGGAGGAGGGGGGGUUCUAAAAGGCUAGAGGCAGCACUGGAAAGGCUACUCAGCAAGUGGCAUUGAACUUUAUUUUUUUGGUCAGUUUUGUCUCCCCCACUGCCCAAUGUCAAUUUGUGGGCAUGAUACAACUUGUCAAGCAGGUCUAUAAUAUGGUUAAUGUAGCACAGCUGGAUUCAAGUUGUUUUUUUUAACCUGUUUUUCCAUUGAGUCAAUGCUGUAUUCAAGCGUCUCAUACUAGUUUAUUUUUUUAUUUGCUGCUGUAUUUGAGUACAUUAUGGCCUUCAGGCUAAUAAAGUCACAGUAUCCAUUGAUCUCCUGCUCCAGUCAUCUCCAGCCAUGCAGUGGCUCCCAAUUUAUUAUUUUUUACCAAAGACAAACCAAAUCUUACAUGAGGUCAUUGUCAUUUUGUAGUAAUGCCUGUUUUUUGAUCUUAUGAAUUUCUGACCUUGGAAAACCCUUAGAGGGUUGCGAAACAAAACACUGAUCUACUAAUAUCUUCCAUAACAUUAUCCAGCUGUCAUGUGAAGGCUUGAGAAGGAAGUACUGCACACACCUCAACGUUGCAGCAUAAUCUACUUUAUUGAAUCUGGUUGUUCUCAGUAAUGUUAUUUACAUAUUGAAAUAGUGCAAACAAGUAAGGAAGCCAGAUAAAUGAGACAGUCCUCUAGCAAACAAGUAAGGAAGCCAGAUAAAUGAGACAGUCCUCUAGCAAACAAGUAAGGAAGCCAGAUAAAUGAGACAGUCCUCUAGCAAACAAGUAAGGAAGCCAGAUAAAUGAGACAGUCCUCUAGCAAACAAGUAAGGAAGCCAGAUAAAUGAGACAGUCCUCUAGCAAACAAGUAAGGAAGCCAGAUAAAUGAAACAGUCCUCUAGCAAACAAGUAAGGAAGCCAGAUAAAUGAGACAGUCCACUAGCAAACAAGUAAGCUAGAUAAAUGAGACAGUCCUCUACCAAACAAGGAAGCUAGAUAAAUGAGACAGUCCUCUAGCAAACAAGGAAGCCAGAUAAAUGAGACAGUCCACUAGGUGUCACCCUAUUACAAGUUCACUGAACGUGUGUGGAAGACAUUGCAUUUCCAGUCACGAAAACACAGCAAACUAUCAAACCUUUGAAGUCAACAUUUACUAUUUUCAUAUGUAUUACCUUAACCUUGU
Molecule: long non-coding RNA, 6544 nt
Organism: Oncorhynchus tshawytscha (Chinook salmon)
Lineage: Eukaryota; Metazoa; Chordata; Actinopteri; Salmoniformes; Salmonidae
Source: Ensembl